AUUGAACGCUGGCGGCAUGCUUUACACAUGCAAGUCGAUCGGUAACAGGCCUUCGGGUGCUGACGAGUGGCGAACGGGUGAGUAAUGCAUCGGAACGUGCCCAGAGGUGGGGGAUAACGCAGCGAAAGCUGUGCUAAUACCGCAUGUGAUCUGAGGAUGAAAGCGGGGGACCAGGCAGCAAUGUUUGGCCUCGCGCCUUUGGAGCGGCCGAUGUCAGAUUAGGUAGUUGGUGGGGUAAAGGCCUACCAAGCCGACGAUCUGUAGCUGGUCUGAGAGGACGACCAGCCACACUGGGACUGAGACACGGCCCAGACUCCUACGGGAGGCAGCAGUGGGGAAUUUUGGACAAUGGGCGCAAGCCUGAUCCAGCAAUGCCGCGUGCGGGAAGAAGGCCUUCGGGUUGUAAACCGCUUUUGUACGGAACGAAAAGGCUCUGGCUAAUACCUGGGGCUGAUGACGGUACCGUAAGAAUAAGCACCGGCUAACUACGUG
This 492-nucleotide ribosomal RNA is filed under the name uncultured bacterium. RNAcentral's name for it is "partial 16S ribosomal RNA". It matches the Rfam family "Bacterial small subunit ribosomal RNA", at positions 30 to 507 of the family's 1533-position model. The record is from RNAcentral.